This is a small nucleolar RNA of Eutrema salsugineum, 97 nucleotides long. It matches the Rfam family "Small nucleolar RNA Z266". Rfam says of the family: Z266 is a member of the C/D class of snoRNA which contain the C (UGAUGA) and D (CUGA) box motifs. Most of the members of the box C/D family function in directing site-specific 2'-O-methylation of substrate RNAs. Lineage: Eukaryota; Viridiplantae; Streptophyta; Magnoliopsida; Brassicales; Brassicaceae. The record is from Rfam.
AACGGCGAGGAUGAUGAUUUAAUUAGAUGUGCGAAUGGAGAGUUUCUCCAUUUUGAGCUUAAAAACUUAAUUUGGCAAUUAAUCUGACUUCGCCGUC